CAGCAGCCGCGGUAAUACGUAGGGCGCAAGCGUUAUCCGGAAUUAUUGGGCGUAAAGAGCUCGUAGGCGGUUUGUCGCGUCUGCCGUGAAAGUCCGGGGCUCAACCCCGGAUCUGCGGUGGGUACGGGCAGACUAGAGUGAUGUAGGGGAGACUGGAAUUCCUGGUGUAGCGGUGAAAUGCGCAGAUAUCAGGAGGAACACCGAUGGCGAAGGCAGGUCUCUGGGCAUUAACUGACGCUGAGGAGCGAAUGCAUGGGGAGCGAACAGGAUUAGAUACCCGAGUAGUCCCUGUCUCUUAUAC
This 301-nucleotide ribosomal RNA is filed under the name uncultured bacterium. Its description in RNAcentral is "partial 16S ribosomal RNA". It matches the Rfam family "Bacterial small subunit ribosomal RNA", at positions 509 to 807 of the family's 1533-position model. The record is from RNAcentral.